AACGAACGCUGGCGGCAUGCCUAACACAUGCAAGUCGAACGUGACCUUCGGGUCUAGUGGCGCACGGGUGCGUAACGCGUGGGAACCUGCCCUUAGGUUCGGAAUAACUCCCCGAAAGGGGUGCUAAUACCGGAUAAUGUCUUCGGACCAAAGAUUUAUCGCCUUUGGAUGGGCCCGCGUUGGAUUAGCUAGUUGGUAGGGUAAAAGCCUACCAAGGCGACGAUCCAUAGCUGGUCUGAGAGGAUGAUCAGCCACACUGGGACUGAGACACGGCCCAGACUCCUACGGGAGGCAGCAGUGGGGAAUAUUGGACAAUGGGCGAAAGCCUGAUCCAGCAAUGCCGCGUGAGUGAUGAAGGCCUUAGGGUUGUAAAGCUCUUUUACCCGGGAUGAUAAUGACAGUACCGGGAGAGUAAGCUCCGGCUAACUCCGUG
Molecule: ribosomal RNA, 433 nt
Filed under: uncultured bacterium
Lineage: Bacteria
Description: partial 16S ribosomal RNA
Rfam family: Bacterial small subunit ribosomal RNA
Source: RNAcentral